UACAGAGGGGGCAAGCGUUGUUCGGAUUCAUUGGGCGUAAAGCGUGCGCAGGCGGUCUGCUAAGAGAGAUGUGAAAUCCCCGGGCUUAACCUGGGAACUGCGUUUCUAACUGGCAGGCUUGAGUGUGGCAGAGGGGGGUGGAAUUCCACGUGUAGCAGUGAAAUGCGUAGAGAUGUGGAGGAACACCGAUGGCGAAGGCAGCCCCCUGGGCUAACACUGACGCUCAUGCACGAAAGCGUGGGGAGCAAACAGG
Molecule: ribosomal RNA, 253 nt
Filed under: uncultured bacterium
Lineage: Bacteria
Description: partial 16S ribosomal RNA
Rfam family: Bacterial small subunit ribosomal RNA
Source: RNAcentral